Long non-coding RNA from Triticum aestivum (bread wheat), 1023 nucleotides. RefSeq lists it as uncharacterized. The record is from RefSeq and is a predicted model, not a curated record. Lineage: Eukaryota; Viridiplantae; Streptophyta; Magnoliopsida; Poales; Poaceae. The transcript has 2 exons.
ACCACCCACCCUCGAUCCCAUCACCACCGACCUCCUGCCCCGGCCCAGAUCCCUCCCCCCGCGCCGCCGCGCGAACUCCCCGGCUCCCCCGCCGCCGUGCGACCUUCCUGGACCUCCCCCCCCCCCCCCCGCGCGCCGCCUCCUGGCUACCACCCCGCCGGGCCUCCUGCCGCCGGCCCCCACGGCCCAACGCGCUUCCCGCCGCGCCUCCGGCCGCCCGCCACCCGUUCUGAUGCGCCUCGGGCGCCCUCCCAUCCCCGACGCCCCUCUAGUGGCCGAACCUCCACACUAGCCCCCUACGAGAAGUUCGCGUUGGAUCCCGCCUCUCCUCUUGCGCGUCGCCAGCAGGCCGGCAUCCUUGCGCGACGUCGCCGUCGAAGACUAAUCCUGGCAGUAGCAGUAAGUUCGCAUUGGAUCCCGCCUCUCCUCUUGUGCGUUGCCACCAUGACCACUCACCUCGUGCUAUCAGCGACCUGCCAAAGCCUAAGCGGCGACCUGUCCGAGGCCUAAGCACGAAAUUCAUGCUUGAAUCUUCUCCAAAUUGAUGUUGCCUGCAACGGGAGGGGAAAGCCUGUAGUCCAGCACUAUGAUGGGAGAAACUGCUUCUACUUUUCUUCUGAAAUCACCAGUGCUCUCUGUGGCACCGCGGAGCCGUUUGCCUGGCGGGUUGAGCAGCUCAUCAAGGGAUCGCUCGAGGUCGCCGGCUGCAAGGAUUAACGAAGACAGAGACAAAGGUAGCAGGGACAGGAAGCAUGACUGAAAAUGAGAGAGUGACGAUGAAAUACAGCGUACGCUGCACCUUGGUUUCUAUUUUUAGUGGAGUCUAGAGAUAAGCACAUUUGUCUGUUUAUUAGAGGGGAUUUGCCUAACAUUUUUCCUAGGUUUUGUAUCAUUGUGUCCCGUGUUAUCCAUGUACAGGCAAGGCAUACUUUAUGUUUUUACGGUUUCUUGUUACUCAAACGUAUGUAAUGGCACCCAUUCUUGUUACUGAAAUGUACGUAAUGGUACCCAGAAAUUUGAAUU